UCAUACUGCACACACAUCAACAAUCACCAUGACAACAGAACCCCAUUCAUACUGCACACACAUCAACAAUCGCCAUGACAACAUUACAAUAUUCAUACUGCACACACAUCAACAAUCACCAUGACAACAGAACCCUAUUCAUACUGCACACACAUCAACAAUCACCAUGACAACAGAACCCUAUUCAUACUGCACACACAUCAACAAUCGCCAUGACAACAGAACCCUAUUCACACUGCACAAACAUCAACAAUCACCAUGACAACAGAACCCCAUUCAUACUGCACACACAUCAACAAUCCCCAUGACAACAGAACCCUAUUCAUACUGCACACACAUCAACAAUCACCAUGACAACAGAACCCCAUUCAUACUGCACACACAUCAACAAACAGAACCCCAUUCAUACUGCACACACAUCAACAAUCACCAUGACAACAGAACCCCAUUCAUACUGCACAAAUAUCCUUAUAGCACAGCCAGAAGAGGACUGGCCACCCCUCAUAGUCUGAUUCCUCUAAGUUUCUAAUCUCUACCAGGCACAGCCAGAAGAGGACUGGCCACCCCUCAUAGCCUGGUUCCUCUAAGUUUCUAAUCUAUACCAGGCACAGCCAGAAGAGGACUGGCCACCCCUCAUAGCCUGGUUCCUCUAAGUUUCUAAUCUCCACCAGGCACAGCCAGAAGAGGACUGGCCACCCCUCAUAGCCUGGUUCCUCUAAGUUUCUAAUCUCCACCAGGCACAGCCAGAAGAGGACUGGCCACCCAUCAUAGCCUGGUUCCUCUCUUCCCGGCACAGCCAGAAGAGGACUGGCCACCCCUCAUAGCCUGGUUCCUCUCUAGGUUUCUAAUCUCCACCCGGCACAGCCAGAAGAGGACUGGCCACCCCUCAUAGCCUGGUUCCUCUCUAGGUUUCUAAUCUCCACCAGGCACAGCCAGAAGAGGACUGGCCACCCCUCAUAGCCUGGUUCCUCUCUAGGUUUCUAAUCUCCACCCGGCACAGCCAGAAGAGGACUGGCCACCCCUCAUAGCCUGGUUCCUCUCUAGGUUUCUAAUCUCCACCCGGCACAGCCAGAAGAGGACUGGCCCACCCCUCAUAGCCUGGUUCCUCUCUAGGUUUCUAAUCUCCACCAGGCACAGCCAGAAGAGGACUGGCCACCCCUCAUAGCCUGGUUCCUCUCUAGGUUUCUAAUCUCCACCAGGCACAGCCAGAAGAGGACUGGCCCACCCCUCAUAGCCUGGUUCCUCUCUAGGUUUCUAAUCUCCACCCGGCACAGCCAGAAGAGGACUGGCCACCCCUCAUAGCCUGGUUCCUCUCUAGGUUUCUAAUCUCCACCCGGCACAGCCAGAAGAGGACUGGCCACCCCUCAUAGCCUGGUUCCUCUCUAGGUUUCUAAUCUCCACCCGGCACAGCCAGAAGAGGACUGGCCCACCCCUCAUAGCCUGGUUCCUCUCUAGGUUUCUAAUCUCCACCCGGCACAGCCAGAAGAGGACUGGCCACCCCUCAUAGCCUGGUUCCUCUCUAGGUUUCUAAUCUCCACCAGGCACAGCCAGAAGAGGACUGGCCACCCCUCAUAGCCUGGUUCCUCUCUAGGUUUCUAAUCUCCACCAGGCACAGCCAGAAGAGGACUGGCCACCCCUCAUAGCCUGG
Oncorhynchus keta (chum salmon) is the source of this 1648-nucleotide long non-coding RNA. RefSeq lists it as uncharacterized. NCBI's taxonomy places the organism in Eukaryota, Metazoa, Chordata, Actinopteri, Salmoniformes, Salmonidae. The record is from RefSeq and is a predicted model, not a curated record. The transcript is spliced from 7 exons.